UACGGAAGGCAGCAGUGGGGAAUAUUGCACAAUGGGCGCAAGCCUGAUGCAGCCAUGCCGCGUGUAUGAAGAAGGCCUUCGGGUUGUAAAGUACUUUCAGUCGUGAGGAAGGUGUUAAGGUUAAUAACCUUAGCAAUUGACGUUAGCGACAGAAGAAGCACCGGCUAACUCCGUGCCAGCAGCCGCGGUAAUACGGAGGGUGCGAGCGUUAAUCGGAAUUACUGGGCGUAAAGGGCACGCAGGCGGUUAAUUAAGUUGGAUGUGAAAUCCCCGGGCUUAACCUGGGAAUGGCAUUCAAGACUGGUUAGCUAGAGUCUUGUAGAGGGGGUAGAAUUCCAUGUGUAGCGGUGAAAUGCGUAGAGAUGUGGAGGAAUACCGGUGGCGAAAGGCGGCCCCUGGACAAAGACUGACGCUCAUGUGCGAAAAGCGUGGGGAGCAAACAGGGAUUAGAUACC
This 455-nucleotide ribosomal RNA is filed under the name uncultured bacterium. RNAcentral describes it as "bacterial SSU rRNA". It matches the Rfam family "Bacterial small subunit ribosomal RNA", at positions 340 to 786 of the family's 1533-position model. The record is from RNAcentral.